RNAcentral lists this ribosomal RNA (393 nucleotides) under uncultured bacterium. RNAcentral describes it as "partial 16S ribosomal RNA". It matches the Rfam family "Bacterial small subunit ribosomal RNA", at positions 523 to 918 of the family's 1533-position model. The record is from RNAcentral.
AUACGGAGGAUGCGAGCGUUAUCCGGAUUUAUUGGGUUUAAAGGGAGCGUAGAUGGAUUGUUAAGUCAGUUGUGAAAGUUUGCGGCUCAACCGUAAAAUUGCAGUUGAAACUGGCAGUCUUGAGUACAGUAGAGGUGGGCGGAAUUCGUGGUGUAGCGGUGAAAUGCUUAGAUAUCACGAAGAACUCCGAUUGCGAAGGCAGCUCACUAGACUGUUACUGACACUGAUGCUCGAAAGUGUGGGUAUCAAACAGGAUUAGAUACCCUGGUAGUCCACACAGUAAACGAUGAAUACUCGCUGUUUGCGAUAUACAGUAAGCGGCCAAGCGAAAGCAUUAAGUAUUCCACCUGGGGAGUACGCCGGCAACGGUGAAACUCAAAUGAAUUGGCGGGG